GCCUGGGUGGCUCAGUCAGUUAAGCAUCUGACUUCAGCUCAGGUCAUGAUCUCACGGUUCACGGGUUCAAACCCCGUGUUGGGCU
RNAcentral lists this transfer RNA (85 nucleotides) under Felis catus (domestic cat). It matches the Rfam family "tRNA". From Rfam's summary of the family: Transfer RNA (tRNA) molecules are approximately 80 nucleotides in length. Their secondary structure includes four short double-helical elements and three loops (D, anti-codon, and T loops). Further hydrogen bonds mediate the characteristic L-shaped molecular structure. tRNAs have two regions of fundamental functional importance: the anti-codon, which is responsible for specific mRNA codon recognition, and the 3' end, to which the tRNAs corresponding amino acid is attached (by aminoacyl-tRNA synthetases). tRNAs cope with the degeneracy of the genetic code in two manners: having more than one tRNA (with a specific anti-codon) for a particular amino acid; and 'wobble' base-pairing, i.e. permitting non-standard base-pairing at the 3rd anti-codon position. Lineage: Eukaryota; Metazoa; Chordata; Mammalia; Carnivora; Felidae. The record is from Rfam by way of RNAcentral.